CGUAGGGUGCAAGCGUUGUCCGGAUUUACUGGGCGUAAAGCGCGCGUAGGCGGUCUGUUAAGUGCACGAGUGAAAGCUCCGGGCUCAACCCGGAAAUUGCUCUGCAUACUGGCAGGCUGGAGGGACGCAGAGGUCUGUGGAAUUCCUGGUGUAACGGUGAAAUGUGUUGAUAUCAGGAGGAACACCCAUGGCGAAGGCAGCAGACUGGGCGUUUCCUGACGCUGAGGCGCGAAAGCGUGGGUAGCAAACAGGAUUAGAUACCCUGGUAGUCCACGCCCUAAACGAUGGAUACUAGGCGUAGGAGGUAUCGACCCCUCCUGUGCCGCAGCAAACGCAUUAAGUAUCCCGCCUGGGGAGUACGGCCGCAAGGUUG
Molecule: ribosomal RNA, 373 nt
Filed under: uncultured organism
Description: bacterial SSU rRNA
Rfam family: Bacterial small subunit ribosomal RNA
Source: RNAcentral